ACCAAGACUUGACUCAUAUUCUGAGUAUCCAGGUGUGCUAGAGCACUUGCAGAGAAUCCGCUGGUCUUGAAUCACUGGUGGGGGUAAUCGCUGCCCAGGUUAGAAACACGC
Saimiri boliviensis boliviensis (Bolivian squirrel monkey) is the source of this 111-nucleotide small nucleolar RNA. Lineage: Eukaryota; Metazoa; Chordata; Mammalia; Primates; Cebidae. The record is from Ensembl.